Molecule: transfer RNA, 71 nt
Filed under: Diphylleia rotans
Lineage: Eukaryota; Collodictyonidae
Description: tRNA-Gly
Rfam family: tRNA
About the family: Transfer RNA (tRNA) molecules are approximately 80 nucleotides in length. Their secondary structure includes four short double-helical elements and three loops (D, anti-codon, and T loops).
Source: RNAcentral
GCGGGUAUAGAUUAAUGGUAAAUUAUCAGCCUUCCAUGCUGAAGAUCUGGGUUCAAUUCCCAGUACCCGCU